This 1170-nucleotide long non-coding RNA is filed under the name Pavo cristatus (Indian peafowl). Its description in RNAcentral is "lncRNA (ENSPSTG00000015677.1)". Lineage: Eukaryota; Metazoa; Chordata; Aves; Galliformes; Phasianidae. The record is from RNAcentral.
AGAUCAUGUAUAUAUUUAUCACUUUUAGCUGACAGAUCCCUGAGUCAUCAGAAUCUCCAAAGUAGGCCUACUCUGUCUUAUUUUACAGUGAGCAUGCUGGAAGAAACCAAAAGCUUCCCAUCUUUAAAGUCAGGUUGUAUUUGAUGCAAAAUAUCAAACAAGAACAUGAGAGGUCUCUACAGGGGAGAAAGCUGAGGCUCAUCAAUGUACUGUGAAAGCUUUCCUGCCUGCUGCUCCCUGCUUGCUGUGCCUCUCUGCGUGCUCUCCCACCCACUGCACCAGGGCUGCUUCUCCAGAAAGGUCACUGCUUCUCCCUGCAGCUUCCCUGUGCUCAGAAGGCUGCAGCCAGAGUGAGGGAAAAGGUAGUCUGCCACCCUACUCCCCACUCCAUUUGGGUGGAAUGCAUGCAUAGAAUCUAUUCGUAAGGCUGAAACAAAUCGAUGCAGUCUUUGUCCCAUUGUAAUUAUCAUUAGCCCCAGUGUUAUUUUUGCACCGGUAAUUUAAUCACAGGAUAAGAAAUCUGUCCACAAUGUAAUUAAAAUGUAAAGAUAAUGAUAAAAAUAAAUUACUGCUUGUAACUUUGUAUAUAAAUACCAUGCAGGAGAUUAAAAUUAUAUCACUGUUUUUGCAGCGAAGUAAAAACACCUGCAAAGUUCAUGGCUGAGAAUUGUUGUGAAAAUAAGUUCUGUGUCUUAAUUCUACAAAAAUGGCACUAAUGGCAAAACCUGAAUCGUGACUGACUUCCCCUAAAUCUAGAAUUUCUUAAGUCUGUGUUAAAGAACACAACUUAGGAACAAUUAUUGACUGUUCCCUUUGCAGCAUAAAGACGGUUCAUCCUCUGAGUUUCCAAUUUGUGGCUUGUCUUCUGAUUUACUUUAAGGGUAUGUUACAUGUAGAUCAGCGUAUUUAGAUAAGGUGAACCUCUCAAGCAUUUUAAUUCUCAAGUAUUAAGUGAAGAAGUUUAGUUUAAUGGAAAAAUUUGAAACUAAGUCUUCUUCUAAGAAUGGUUUAAAAUCAGAAUAUCUGUAUACGAGAUAAAGCUUAUAUAUAGCUGAUCUUCACUGUGGGUAUUGAUGUAAUGACUUAGGGUACUAACAAAGAUCUGAUCUCUUUGAGAUCAGAUUUAACAAUUUAAAAUUAACAAAGGAGGGCUGACUGCACAGGUAUACU